UGAUGAGCAGCAUUCGGUGUUCUGCCGAGAUAAUCAAGUGACUACAUGUAGAGUGUCUGAUUUCUGCCAAAGGGUGCGUUUUAUGCUGCUGGCAGGCAGAAAUCCUAUUUUGCUGGUUGCCUUUUCCCAUGGAGGUGAAAGAGGAGACUUUCAGGCUGGUUAGACGGACAGCAGCAAGCCCUGAGCAAAGCAGCCAACGAGUGCCACUAAAACUCAAUAAUGAAAGGUGCAGUGGAUCGAUAAUCCCGUCAGGUCAGAGAGGCCGUCGGUCACAUCUGUCCGACACGUAUCGACGCUUUGCUGGAAGAAGAAAAAAAACAGAAGGAGCAAAGGUUUGGAGACGCGGGGGUUCCGGCGUGUCCUUCCUCUGCGCCCUGUACGCACAAGGAAGAGAGAGACCUUGUUUCAUUGCGCACCGGAGAUCUUCGUUGAACUUCACGAACCUCUGGCGGACCGGAUCAGAUAUCGGUCCAGUCGGUGCUUUACCCUGCAAGUAGCGAGACAGUUUGGAUUUAUCCGCCAAAAAAAGUGGAAUUUGGGUAUUGUGCUGUUUCAUCCGGACCCUAAUCUGCGCUGACACGUGGAAUCGGAUGCGUUCCGUUUAAUAUCAGCUCUGUUCAUAAUAAUCCAAUUUAGAAACUCGUCGUCUGCGGUCGUAGGUUUGAGGCUGUAAAGUCACCGCUCUUCCUCAGCUCGUCCUCCGCGGGGCUGGAGGGGAAAGAGCCGGCGCGCUGAGGGAUGCGGAGCCGGGACCUUGUUUUGUUUUUCAGCUCACCUGCGGAACUCUUCGCAGCGCAAACCAAAGUAUCCCUGCUGAUUCUUCUUGAUCGGUGCAUCAGAGAUAGGACACACACCCAGACUGAACAGACGCGGGGUUAGUUGGCUACAUAACCUCCCCCUGCCGACCGAGGCAGCCGGUGAACCCGCGGGGCGCCAUGCUGAGGCAGAUGCUCCUCAACUCCACCGACACCUCAGACUUCCACCUGGCACUCGUGGCCCAGUCCUCCACGCACGCCCCCUCCUCCAUGAACGCCUCCCACGGCGGUUCGGUGAGCGUCGCCGCUCUCCUGAGACCCACCGCGGGGCGAGGGGGAGGGGGCCUCCGGGAGGGCGAGCUCCACAAGCCGGACCUGACCACCUACAUAGUGAUGUGCCUGCUGCUCUUCCUGUUGGUGCUGCUCAUCGUGUUCUUCAUCAACUGCCAGCUGCGGAACUCUUUCUUCGCCUCCAUGCCAUAUGACAGGUCGUUGAGAGAGGCCCGGAGCUCCUACAAGUGAGACCCCCCCCCAACCAACCCAGGCCAAUCUCUGUGACCUUUAGAGAGACUCCUGUGCGGGGGUUGAAGGACUGACUGGUCUCCUUGAACUGCUGCUGCUGGAAUCAUGUGGUUUGCCUUUAAUAGUUGUCUUGGACACAUUGAUUAGGCAGUGCCUCGGUGAGUGAAAUGUUGCACACAUCUUCCACGUCGGGGCCUGUACACCCUCCGAGAUAUAUGGCUCUUCGGACCAUGGGGGGCAUUUGGGAAGCUGAAUAGCUCCAGAUGGCAACAUAACAUUAGACUAUAACUCCUGCUCAAUUUAGGGCGCCUAUUUUGGGUGAUUAAUGAAUACAAUGUGAAACAAUCCAUCACGCCCUGUAAACAACUCAUCAUCCCCGUAUUGCACUUUGGAAAGAAAUGAUAUAUAUCCCUUUACAGCAUAUUCGCAAACUUGUGUUGAUUCAUCUCCCUGAAUUGGAGUCUAAAUUUGCUGUAUUUCUCACUGGCCCAGACAGGUUUCAGCUUCUUCUUUUUGUUCACGUAAACGUGGCGUACUGCAACAGAGAGCGUAUACAGUAGGUGGCGUAUAUUCAACAUUUUCUAUGACUGUAACUUAACCGUCUUGUCUCGUGAAAUGAAACAAUCAACGCACAACGCCCUUUUGUCCAUGUAAAAUGCUGAUUCAAUUACAGACUGUUUCUAUAAUGUCACAUAAAGAUAUUUAAAUGUACUUUAAGUGUCUCUUCAUCUCUGCACCUGCUUGUUAGUGGCGAUGCUGAAAAUAGCUGUUGAUGCGAUGGUCCAACCGUUAUUCAUGGUGGUUAGUCCUACAGUGCAUUUUCAUUUUUAAUUAACCUCUCCCCCACAAUUAACACAAGAGAGAAUGAAGACCUGAGGCUGCAGUUUAUGAUGAGACUUUUGCGAUAAACUAAACUGUUUUGCACAAAACCUCUCCAAUCGUGUUGUUGGAAACUUCUCCCCCAAACCAAGUCAGAUAUGAGCCUAUCUCUAUAAUCCUGUGCGUGGUCGUGUGUGCGCCCAGCUUAGUGGAAAAUACAUUUUGCAUUUAAAGUGUAGAAACACAGUUGUUUGUCUUGGAAUCGGAGAAGCAUUGCAAGCGAUAAAACUACAUCUGCAUUGAUUGGUGAAUUCAUAAAUCACAGACCAACUACUGUUUUGGAUGAUCUUCCGCUUACAAUUGGGUCAGCAAAUUCAGAACAACAUGUGCCUUGUUAAAUCAGUUGCCG
Gasterosteus aculeatus aculeatus (three-spined stickleback) is the source of this 2505-nucleotide long non-coding RNA. The record is from Ensembl. NCBI's taxonomy places the organism in Eukaryota, Metazoa, Chordata, Actinopteri, Perciformes, Gasterosteidae.